UCGAAGCCAGGCGAGCGAUGGGAUUAGAUACCCCUGUAGUCCUGGCCGUAAACGAUGAACACUAGGUGUCGGGGGAAUCGACCCCCUCGGUGUCGUAGCCAACGCGUUAAGUGUUCCGCCUGGGGAGUACGCACGCAAGUGUGAAACUCAAAGGAAUUGACGGGGGCCCGCACAAGCGGUGGAGUAUGUGGUUUAAUUCGAUGCAACGCGAAGAACCUUACCAGGGUUUGACAUCCUGCGAAUCCCUUGGAAACGAGGGAGUGCCUUCGGGAGCGCAGAGACAGGUGGUGCAUGGCUGUCGUCAGCUCGUGUCGUGAGAUGUUGGGUUAAGUCCCGCAACGAGCGCAACCCACGUCGUUAGUUGCCAGCAUUCAGUUGGGCACUCUAGCGAGACCGCCGGUGAUAAACCGGAGGAAGGUGUGGAUGACGUCAAGUCAUCAUGCCCCUUACAUCCUGGGCUACACACGUACUACAAUGCUACGGACAAAGGGCAGCGAGCUCGCGAGAGUAAGCAAAUCCCAUAAACCGUGGCUCAGUUCAGAUCGUAGGCUGCAACUCGCCUACGUGAAGGAGGAAUCGCUAGUAAUCACAGGUCAGCAUACUGCGGUGAAUACGUUCCCGGGCCUUGUACACACCGCCCGUCACACCAUGGAAGUUGGCCACGCCCGAAGUCGUUACUCCAACCCGGCAAGGGAGGAGGACGC
RNAcentral lists this ribosomal RNA (704 nucleotides) under Synechococcus sp. HS-7. RNAcentral describes it as "bacterial SSU rRNA". It matches the Rfam family "Bacterial small subunit ribosomal RNA", at positions 753 to 1456 of the family's 1533-position model. The record is from RNAcentral. Lineage: Bacteria; Bacillati; Cyanobacteriota; Cyanophyceae; Synechococcales; Synechococcaceae.